RNAcentral lists this ribosomal RNA (158 nucleotides) under Mycobacterium tuberculosis variant bovis. Its description in RNAcentral is "partial ribosomal RNA 23S". It matches the Rfam family "Bacterial large subunit ribosomal RNA", at positions 1287 to 1444 of the family's 2925-position model. The record is from RNAcentral. Lineage: Bacteria; Bacillati; Actinomycetota; Actinomycetes; Mycobacteriales; Mycobacteriaceae.
AGUGCGAAUGCUGACAUAAGUAACGAUAAAGCGGGUGAAAAGCCCGCUCGCCGGAAGACCAAGGGUUCCUGUCCAACGUUAAUCGGGGCAGGGUGAGUCGACCCCUAAGGCGAGGCCGAAAGGCGUAGUCGAUGGGAAACGGGUUAAUAUUCCCGUAC